RNAcentral lists this ribosomal RNA (459 nucleotides) under uncultured bacterium. RNAcentral describes it as "partial 16S ribosomal RNA". It matches the Rfam family "Bacterial small subunit ribosomal RNA", at positions 338 to 795 of the family's 1533-position model. The record is from RNAcentral.
CCUACGGGAGGCAGCAGUGAGGAAUAUUGGUCAAUGGACGAGAGUCUGAACCAGCCAAGUAGCGUGAAGGAUGACUGCCCUAUGGGUUGUAAACUUCUUUUAUAAAGGGGUAAAACGAUGCACGUGUGCCUUUUUGCAUGUACUUUAUGAAUAAGCAUCGGCUAACUCCGUGCCAGCAGCCGCGGUAAUACGGAGGAUCCGAGCGUUAUCCGGAUUUAUUGGGUUUAAAGGGUGCGUAGGCGGCAUGUUAAGUCAGCGGUAAAAGACCGGGGCUCAACCCCGGCGAGCCGUUGAUACUGGCUGUCUUGAGAUGUGGAGAGGUAUGCGAAAUGAGUAGGGUAGCGGUGAAAUGCUUAGAUAUAGCGCAGAACUCCGAUUGCGAAGGCAGCAUACCGGCGUCGAUCUGACGCUGAGGCACGAAAGCGUGGGUAUCGAACAGGAUUAGAUACCCGAGUAGUC